RNAcentral lists this small RNA (883 nucleotides) under uncultured Paecilomyces. RNAcentral's name for it is "eukaryotic LSU rRNA". The stretch from base 606 to 883 matches the Rfam family "Eukaryotic large subunit ribosomal RNA", at positions 1 to 281 of the family's 3401-position model. The record is from RNAcentral. Lineage: Eukaryota; Fungi; Ascomycota; Eurotiomycetes; Eurotiales; Thermoascaceae.
CUUGGUCAUUUAGAGGAAGUAAAAGUCGUAACAAGGUCUCCGUUGGUGAACCAGCGGAGGGAUCAUUACCGAGUUUUCAACUCCCAAACCCACUGUGAACAUAUACCAUUUGUUUAUUCGUUGCCUCGGCGGGUUCUACCCCCUGGAGACAGGGCGGCCAGCCCCCGCCGGCGUAACACCAAAAACCCUGAAUGUGUACCCGUUACACGGCAGUAUUACUCUGAGUCACAUCAUUUUAAAUGAAUCAAAACUUUCAACAACGGAUCUCUUGGUUCUGGCAUCGAUGAAGAACGCAGCGAAAUGCGAUAAGUAAUGUGAAUUGCAGAAUUCAGUGAAUCAUCGAAUCUUUGAACGCACAUUGCGCCCGCCAGUAUUCUGGCGGGCAUGCCUGUUCGAGCGUCAUUUCAACCCUCAGGUCCCCCUUUUCGGAGGGGGAGACACCCUGGUGUUGGGGGACGGCAUCCUGGCCCGCUGUCUCACAGUGUGCCACGCCGCCCCCGAAAUGAAUUGGCGGCCUCGUCGCGUGCCACCCCUGCGUAGUAGCACAACCUCGCAACGGGAGCCCGACGCGGCCACUGCCGUAAAACGCCCAACUUUUACCGAGUUGACCUCGAAUCAGGUAGGAAUACCCGCUGAACUUAAGCAUAUCAAUAAGCGGAGGAAAAGAAACCAACAGGGAUUGCCCCAGUAACGGCGAGUGAAGCGGCAACAGCUCAAAUUUGAAAUCUGGCCCCUAGGGCCCGAGUUGUAAUUUGCAGAGGAUGCUUUUGGCGAGGUGCCUUCCGAGUUCCCUGGAACGGGACGCCAUAGAGGGUGAGAGCCCCGUCUGGUUGGAUACCGAGCCUCUGUAAAGCUCCUUCGACGAGUCGAGUUGUUUGGGAAU